GCGACUGCUGAUUGCUGCGAUGUGGGGCGUGCACGACGUUAAGGUAGCUGCUGUUAACCACUAUUUAGGGUUAGACUGGGAUUUGAGGUUUGGUUUAGUGAUUUGGGCCUUAUUGGGCCAAAUGUAAUUGGGUUAGAUUGAUUAAUUUGGGCCCCGGGCAUCAAUUGGGUAUUACAGCUGCCCCUCUUUACUCGUUAUCAUGUAAUGGGAACAGAGCAAAAACUAAAAAGCCCAAUUGUGCCCGGUCUCACCGAGCCUCAACUUCUUCAAUGCUUCUUUUGUUCAAGUAGCCUCAUUCUAACCCACUUGUAGCUUCUCAAAUAAAUUUGGCUAUCUUUAGUCUGCCCCACUGCAACUUCAAGGAGAUAAGACUCGUAGCUUCAGCUUGUUUUGUUGCAACUUUAGAGAUGAGUCUGAUACAAUCCACUCUACGACAACUUCAAAAAAGUGAAAUCUGUGAUUUUAAUCCAUUCUACUGCAAAUUCAGGGAGAUAGGAUUUUUUUCUUCAAUUCGUCCAAUUACAAUGUCGAGGAAACAAUAUCCGCCGUCGUAGCUUCAACCUGUUAAACUGCACCGCUAAGGAAAUCAGAUCCGCCGUUGUGGCUUUAAUCUUUUUAAUUGCGCUGUCGGGGAAAUCAGAUCUGCCGUUGUGACUUCAAUCUACUCCGCUGCACCGCCAGGGAAGUAAGAUCUGCCAUUGUGGCUUCAAUCUUUUUAAUUGCGCUGUCGGGGAAACCAGAUACGCCGUUGUGACUUUAAUCUGCUCCACUGCAUCGCCAAGGAAGUAAGAUCCGCCGUUGUGGCUUCAAUCCUUUUAAUUACGCUGUCAGGGAAACCAGAUCUGCCGUUGUGGCUUCAAUCUACUCCGCUACACCGCCAGGGAAAUAAGAUCCGCCGUUAUGGCUUCAAUCUUUUUAAUUGCGCUGUCGAGGAAACCAGAUCCGCCGUUGUGACUUCAAUCUGCUCCGCUGCACCGCCAGGGAAGUAAGAUCCGUUGUUGUGGCUUCAAUCUUUUAAUUGCGCUGUCGGGGAAACCAAAUCCGCCGUUGUGACUUCAAUCUGCUCCACUACAUCGCCAAGGAAGUAAGAUCCGCCGUUGUGGUUUCAAUCCUUUUAAUUGCGCUGUCGGGGAAACCAGAUCUGCCGUUGUGACUUCAAUCUGCUCCACUGCAUCGCCAGGGAAGUAAGAUCCGCCGUUGUGGCUUCAAUCUUUUUAAUUGCGUUGUCGGGGAAACUAGAUCCGCCGUUGUGACUUCAAUCUACUCCGCUACAACGCUAAGGAAAUAAGAUCCGCCAUUUUUAACCUACUCUACUGCUGCUCAAGGAGAUAAGGCUAAAGUUUUAUCAGUUUGGUUCUCUAGGGAACAUGACCUGUAAAAUUCAAGUUAUGAACCUAAUUAUGCCUAGUGAUUAGGAUGUCAUGAUCAAAAUGAAUCAAAUGAUCCUAACUAGACGUGUAUGAAUGACAUUUGAAUGAGUGCUGAAUGUCAUUUUUCAAUAAUGAUCUCUCUUUAAAGCUUAGGUUGUCAUUACUCAAAGUUUAUUGAAACUAAAUUACUGACGCACUAGAACGUCCUCUUGCUCAGCUAGCAUCUCCGAAGAAACACUUAAUCAACCUGCCCCCACUGUAAACUUCAAAGUUCAAUCUACUGGGAUGCAACAUUGGUACCAUCUUUCUCCCGCUGUAACCCAAGGGUAGAAAAAUCUAGUCUUUUCUCAAUCCUAUCCUAUCGCAAUUCAAGGAUAUAGACUGUGAAACUCUUUGGUUCUUUACACCAUUUCCAAGGUGUCAUACCAAAUGCUCAUGCACAAAUGAAUACUUUCUUCUCCGAUGAAACCUCUUCUUAUUGCUUGGUGAUCAUUUUUCGCUUGUUCAUUGAAGCCCUAUCACCGACACGACAUCUUAUCAUUUUGUUCAAUCAAUGCCUUGACAACAAAAUCUGAAGGGAUAGUCUCAAUUUAGACUUUUCCUUCCUAGAUAUUUCAACCUUUAAACUUGGUGCUUUCUAAAUAAUAGUCUUGUUUCAGGUUCUCGUAUUAUUUAGAAACUUCUAGAGUAAUAUGCAAAACUUCCCUUGUGAAAGUUUUAUUGGUCCAUUAAUCAUUAUUCUAAUGCAACAUACUUGCAAAAAGGACAAAACGAUAGAUAAAAUAGAAUUGAUUUAAGAGCAUAGCUCGAAAUGAAUAGAAUAUCAAGGAUAGUAAAAAUAAAAGAAGAAUGGAUUGGGAACACGUAUCUUGAAAAAGAAUAAAGUAUUCCAAGAACAAACAAUUCGAUAAAAAUAGUAUGAAAACUAGGUGCCCUAGAUAUCGGACCUUGAACUUCUCUGUACAAACUUCCUGAAGGCUAUUCUGAGUUUGACAUGUGCUUAGGAGAUCUAUAAUACUCUGUCGAUGCUCCAAGAUGUCGCGUACCCUUUCCUGCUGAUUUAGGCAUAGCAAGAUCACCACAUGCCCCAAUCUGAUCAAAAUUUGAGCUACUCUUAUUACCUCAUGCCCCAUUUUGAUCAAUAUUUGAGCCGCCCUUUUCGGGUUUUCAACUCAAAUCCCCUUUGGUCUAAGGCACCCUUUGCGGGUUUUCACAUUAGCCUCUCCAUUUUUACUUUUUCUAUUUUUCAUUUUCAUUUUUUCACAUAUUUUUUCUUCUCUUUUUCUUUCUUUUCUUUUUCUUUUUUGCGACUCAAAGUGCCCUUUGAAGGUUUUUACCUUGACCCUAUCAUUCUUUAAGCGAAGCAUUUCUUGACUGAAUCUGAGUUUACAGGAUUAGACAAGUUUUUACUAUCCAUCUCACUCAAGAUCAGUGCUCCUCCAGAAAAGGUCUUCUUGACACCAUAAGGACAUUCCCACUUUGGCACUCAUUUUUCUCUAAAAUCCUUUUGUAGAGGAAUGAUCUUUUUCAAUACUAGGUUUCCCUCGUGGAAUUUUCUAGGACGAACCUUUUUGUUGUAAGCUCGUAUCAUUCGUUUUUGGUACAUCUGACCGUGACAAAUAGCCUUUUUCCUUCAAUUAAGUUCAACUGAUCUUAUCGAGAUUGGAUCUUCAUCCUACUUCAACUCAGCCAAUACCCAGAGAAAAAGAAUUUCAACUUCAAUGGAAAACUGUGAUAAGCUAAAGAGAAAGGCAUUGCCCUAGCGAGGUUCUUUUUCUUUCUUUUUUUAUUUUUUUUCUUAUUUUUCCCCUUUUUUUUUUCUUUUUUUUUGGAUUGAAUCUGCACUUAUAGGAUUAGGCAAGUCCUGGUCAUCUCUUUCGAUCAGAAUCAAUAUUAUUCUAGAUAAGGUCUUCCCCAUAACUUCCACUUUCAUUUUGUAUGCGAAAGAUCUUCUUUGGUAUCAGGUUUCUCUCAUAGAGCCUUUUGGGGCGAAAUUUAACUAUGACGAGAAAAUUUUAGAUCUUCCUCUUCAAUUAGGAUGAAAUCUAACAAAAAUACGGAAAAAUUACAACUUGACUUCAACGAAAUAAGCCAGAGAAGAAGGUAUUACCCCGGUAAAGAAUUCUAACUACAUCGUUCAUGAUGUGAAUCUUGAACAUACUGCAGAUUUUUAACGUGCUAUUGCUCAGAUUACAAUAUCAGUGCUUAACCUGGGCAUAUCCUGGUAUAAUCAUACGAAGACAUCUUUGAACUCUCGAAGUAACUUAACAAGGUCUUGCUUCAUUUCUCCGGUUAUGCAUGUUCUCUUAAAGUCACAAUCUCCAUUGUCUCUUCAAAAGGUAAAAAUUGUUCUCUUCUUGCUCUACCAUCCUCAACAAGUCUGGAGAUAGGCUACAAUCUAUGUCAUUUCCAAAGUCAUGAAAUCCUUCUAAACACAUGUUUUACUCAAAAGAGGAUUCUGAAUUUGUAACAGCGUCACUCACGUCAUUGAUAUUUGGGGACCCGUAAUAAAUACCAAAAAAAAUAUACAAAAGAAAUGUAUAAAUUUAUGAACAAUUAUUUAUACAAUAUGAUUAUGAAUGAAUGAAUGAUGUGGAAGAAAAUCCAAAAGAAUGAAAGAAUAACUUUUCAGACAGACUGAAAGAAUAUUGGUUCAAAAAAAAUGAUCGCAAGGAUGCAUUUCAUUAAAAUAAUGACAUUCAGACAUGAGCCUAUUUCACAAAGGAAUUCUUAUUGCCUCUAGGCUAAAAACAACAAGUGUGUUUUGAACAUUACUCUAAAUAAGUCCUAAAUACUACAGAGAUUUCUUUUACAGUCUAAUUGUUUAGGACACUCCCAAGUUUAUAAGUAUGGAUAUCUAAUAAGGUCCCUUUUCAAUUGUGUCUUCAUGUAUGGCAUUGAUGUGAACGUUCUCCUACACUUUUUCAUACAUCGCAUUCACCCCAUUAUCAAUAUGAUUGGGUAGCGAAUUUCUUGCACUCGAUGAAUCCUCAAAUCUAACAAUGUCCAUAUUGAUUAGCCUUUCAACCAAUUUCUUGAAAGUGGUGCAAUUUUCUAUCGAAUGCCCCGCAAUUCUUGCGUGGUAUUCACACUAAGCAUUUGCAUUAUACCAUUUAAGAAAUGGGGGCAACAUCGGUUUCAAAUAGAAGGGAGACACCACAUGUACAUUAAAUAGGCUUUGAUACAGCUCACUAUAAGACAUCGGUAUAGGCGUGAACUGAAGUCCUUCUGUAUUUGUCUUCGUGUAAGAUUCUCGCUUUAAAGGGCUCUGACGGUUAGUGAUUUCUGUCUUUGGUCGGCCCACAGUGAUUGGUUUUGAGUGACCCUUUUUAUAUCUACCUAUAUUAUCUCCCUUAUCCCCCUUCUUUCUUGGGGCCUUUAAAGUAUUGAUUUGAGAGUUCCACUCUCGCCCUUUCCGUUUGUAACGAUCUUCGAAUUAUUUUGGGAACUCCACCCUCGCUUGUUCUGUAUCUGCUUGAUCAUCAAUGACAACAGGAUUAGUUAAAUUGCCCAUCGAGUUAGAUCUUAAGCCAGUCUGGAAAUUCACCGGUGUCGAGGUGCUGGUCUGAUAUUGGGGUCAGAUGUUAACAAUUACCCUUUGUGGAUAUGCAUUUGGUUGUGCUAGGGUAUUUGUUGGGGUGAAGCCUGAAGGAUAUGUAGGGUCUUCAUUAUUAUCCCCAAAGUGGACCGUUGAGGUAUUUCCUCUUUCUAACCCUCUAGCCAAUAACUGGGUUAACUGGCACAUUAUAUUUCUUUGGAAUUCUAACAACUGAUCUUUCAUAUCUUGCUAAAAUUUGGUCAAUUGCUCCUGCAUUCGCACCUGCAUUUGCUCUAAUUUCUCCAACCUUUGGUCCAUUUCUCUAAUCUUUGCUUGGGUGCCGUGAGGGUGUUGGUUUUCCAAUUUAACUGAAAUAAAUUUUACUCAAUUAGGCUAUUUCAAUAGAUUUUAAUGCAUAUGAUGCAAUGUAAUGCAAAUGCAUGAGAUGAAUGCAAAAAGAGACGUUGAUUCUGAUUCAAUUCCAUUUAGAAAACUUUUCUAGAAGACAAAUUUCUUUACAUAAAGCGGAUACAUAUAUACGGCUUUGCCCUCAUACUCCAAGCGAGGACAUCUUCUUCUUCUUCAUCUGGAUGCUAAGAUAAAUCUUGCGAAUUCUUCAAAAUGGGUAUCUCCUCUACCUCUUUUUUACUUGAUCCUGGUUAUAAUCCAACGUCUGCCCAUCCCGUAAUGCUCCUCAAUUUCUUUAAGGUAGUUGGAAUGUCAAAAACUCUUGAAUAAUCAGCUUGACCUUGAGGCACGAAGUAAAGUUAUGUAUUCCUCCAUCACCCUUCUCUUAUCACGUUUUCUUGGACCAUAUUCGGACAACCAUAUUGUCAUUCACUUUAUCAAGAAACUCAUUUUCUUAUGACAAGCUCUCUAUUUAGCAACCGAACGUGAAUCAACACCUCUUUUCUAUAAUGAAAUGCCAUGCAGUCAAAAUGUCAUGCAUUCAAAACAAAACACAAUAAGUUAGUAACAGGUAUAAACAUUAAAUCCAAUACAAUCAAGAAAUAAUAAAAACUCCUAGCCAGGUAUCUAUUAAGGUUCAAAGUAAUUCUACCUAGGGUGGGUUCCUAAGGUUCACUAUAUGAGGUUUUGGCUUCUAGAGCAAGGGUACCCGAACCAGCAGAUUCCUCGAUCCUCACCUAUUAUAGGCUCAUAUGGACCGUGUUCGGUUCAAGGAAAUACAUUUCCCUAUGGCUGCACGGAGAUGAAAAUCUCACGAAGACAUAGGUACGGAUGUAUCCCGAAAGCGAUCCACUACCCUGCACGGAGGUGAAAACCUCACGAAGGACUAGCUUCUCACUCCCACUUAGAGGGGUAAAAUUGACCAUGAAAUGCAAAAAUGCAAAUAAACCAACAGACUUAAACCAACCAAACAAGCAUAUGACAAUUAAAACUAAUGAAUGCAAAGAGAAAAUCAGGUUUUAAAACAACUUUAAUUUUCGACAAAAAAAAGACAAAAGAUAAUCAAUUCAUGGCUCAACUCUCCAAUAGUCCCCAGUGGAGUCGCCAAGCUGUCGAAACCAUUUUUUUGAAAACAAAAAUAAGUUAUCGACUUUAAAAGCAAAAAUUGGAGUCGCCACCGAUCCUUGAUUGAGGUGUGAUCGGCUCACCUUAAAAACGAUUUUGGUCUGUGAAAUUUGAGAAACCAGGUUCGGGAGUCAGUUACGCACGAGGAAGGGUUAGCACCCUCGUAACGCCCAAAAAUCAGUACCAAAUUUGAUUAUUUUGUCUUGAUGUCGAAAAUUUGAAAAGAGUUAAAAUAAAAAUUUUAAACUCGAGAAUGAAUUAAAAUGAUAAACAUUCUUAUUUCAAAGAAAUAAAACAUCACACCCACUGAGUUAGGGCACAAUAUUUUUAAAUCUUCAAAAUCAAGUUCGUCUUUGGUUUUUGAAAUUCUUAUUUCGAGUUGAUAAAAUGUCACGACCAGUAAGUUAGGACCCGACAUUCUUGGAUUCCCGAGAAUAAGCUUUUAUUUGAAAUCUUUGUGAAUUUAUUACAAAAUAAAUAUUUAGUUUUCCAAAUUCAUCGAAAAAUAAUCACAAUCCAGUAAGUUAGGACACGAUCUUUCUCGAGAAUCAAGAAUGCCAAAUAUUUAAAAUUUAAAAAACAAUUUUAACGCUUUGACAAAACCAAAAUAUAUUUUCUUUGAAAACAUGAUAAAAUGCGAAUGCAUAUAUAUAUGUAUUCAAAAAUCAUGAAAAAUGAAUUAAUAAUAAAAUAUACAUACAUUUUAGAAAUAAUAAACAUAAAAACGUAUAAAUAUAAGAUAUUAGUAAAUUAUGAAAAUAUGAAAAUAUAUACAUAAAAAACAUGCGAAAAAUAUAUUUAUAAUAAUUUGAAUAAUGUAUAAACAUGCAUAUUAUAAAAGAAAUAUAUAUAGGAUUAUAAAAAUAUGAAAAAUGUAUAAAUAAUAUAAAAUAAUAAUGUAUGUACGUAUGUAAAAACUAAGAAAAUAAAAUAAUAAUAGAAUAUGUAUGUGUAUUCAUUUAAAGAACAUUUAAAAUAUAUACAUAUAUAUUAUAAUAAAAAAAACAUAUGCGUGUAUAUGCAUAAAUAUAAUAAUAAAAAAUAUAUAAAAUAUGUAUAUAUAUAAAAAUAAAUAAAAUAUAUAUAAUAAGAUACAUAUGCGCAUAAAUAUAUGUAAUAAUAAUAAAUAACAUUGUAAAAAUAAUAAUGUAAUAACAAUAUUGAUAAUAUAUAAUAAAAAAAAGAAACCUAAAACUACCAAUUAGGGAUCAAACUGUAAAAUAAACAGAAUUAAAAGGCUGAAUUUAAAGAUAUAAAACACUAAAAAGGGCUAAAUUAAAAUGAACGCAACAGGGAAGGAUUGAAAGGGAAAUUUAAAAGAAAUAAAAAGACAAUUUUAAAGCACUAUAAAAACAAAAGGGACCAAUUGCGCAAAUUAUCCACUUGAUGCCCUAUAUAAGCCUAUUUUAAAACCCUAAAAUACCACUCCUCUGCCAUUUCAAGUGUUUGCGCCGCAGCCUCCCUUUCUCUGCCGUUCUCCCAACUCCGAACAGAUAACAACGAAUGAGGGCGCCCAACGACGGUAAGUCCUCCUUUCCUUCUUCUCUUUAUUUGUUUUUGUUUUAGGAUAACAAAAGAAAAACAAAAUAAAGUGAAAACAGUAAAAGAACAGAACAAAAUCUGUUACCUUCCAAAAUCGUUUUCUUUCUCUUGUAUUUCUUGUUAAUUUUCAUACAAAAUUUUUGCUAACCCCUAUUACAUAAAUCAAUUCCCUUUAUAUAGCCCCCCAAUCCUUUUACCAGUUUUUGCCCUGUUUCUCUUGCUGAUAUCAUUCGUGGCUUAUUGCAGGUGCGUACUAGAGGAGACAUGUGCGACGUGCGUGCGGAGGGCUGAACGUGGGCGGUUACUGCGACGUGUGUGGGGUGCGACUGCUGAUUGCUGUGAUGUGGGGCGUGCACGACGUUAGGGUAGCUGCUGUUAACCACUGUUUAGGGUUAGACUGGGAUU
This 8388-nucleotide long non-coding RNA is filed under the name Gossypium barbadense (sea-island cotton). RNAcentral describes it as "long non-coding RNA (GBAR_LNC014319)". The record is from RNAcentral. Lineage: Eukaryota; Viridiplantae; Streptophyta; Magnoliopsida; Malvales; Malvaceae.